Cercocebus atys (sooty mangabey) is the source of this 86-nucleotide ribosomal RNA. Lineage: Eukaryota; Metazoa; Chordata; Mammalia; Primates; Cercopithecidae. The record is from Ensembl.
UAAAGACACUAACUGCCUCUUAGUGUUUUAAGAGGGCCUGGUUGAUACUUGGAUGGGAGACCACCUGGGAAUAUCGGGUGCUUUAU